AGUGAACGCUGGCGGUAGGCCUAACACAUGCAAGUCGAACGGCAGCACAGUAAGAGCUUGCUCUUACGGGUGGCGAGUGGCGGACGGGUGAGGAAUACAUCGGAAUCUACUUUUUCGUGGGGGAUAACGUAGGGAAACUUACGCUAAUACCGCAUACGACCUACGGGUGAAAGCAGGGGAUCUUCGGACCUUGCGCGAUUGAAUGAGCCGAUGUCGGAUUAGCUAGUUGGCGGGGUAAAGGCCCACCAAGGCGACGAUCCGUAGCUGGUCUGAGAGGAUGAGCACACACACUGGAAAUGAGAGACGGUGCCGAGUCCUACAGGAGGGAGCAGUGUGGAAUAUUGGACAAUGGGGGCAAGAGUGAUACAGACCUACCGCGCGGGGGAAAAAGGGGUUUGGGUUUUAAAACGCUCUUUUUUGGAAAGAAAAGAAGCACGUUUGAAUCCCCCUGUUCUGACGGGACCCAAAGAAUAAGCACCGGCGAAAUUUGUG
This 492-nucleotide ribosomal RNA is filed under the name uncultured bacterium. Its description in RNAcentral is "partial 16S ribosomal RNA". It matches the Rfam family "Bacterial small subunit ribosomal RNA", at positions 29 to 507 of the family's 1533-position model. The record is from RNAcentral.